Mytilus californianus (California mussel) is the source of this 647-nucleotide long non-coding RNA. RefSeq lists it as uncharacterized. NCBI's taxonomy places the organism in Eukaryota, Metazoa, Mollusca, Bivalvia, Mytilida, Mytilidae. The transcript is spliced from 2 exons. The record is from RefSeq and is a predicted model, not a curated record.
UAAAAAUUUGAAUAACUGUGGUGGCAGCAAUAACAGUAACAGUAUGUUACAUGAUGGAGAGAGUGAGACAUCAGGUGGAAUGCACAUUGGAUAUAUUAUAUUUAUCGUGGCGGCGUCAGUUGGAACUUUGGUAUUUACAGUACUUUCUAUAUAUGGUAAAAUACUGAAGAUAAUAGUACGACGCCUUAGGAAUAAUGACUCGUCUAGGAAGAAGCCAACUAUAUGACACACAUUCACAGGAUACAUUACGUCAUAAAAUACUUCUUUCUGUAUAAAUUUAAUGACUUGAAAUGUGUCUGGUUUUUUUUCAACUCUAACUUGCAAUAAUGAAUAUUUCAACAGGAAUACUCCCAUCUGAAAUUAUAGAGAGUGUGACAAGUUAUGGAGCAAACUGUAAAGGAAACUUGAUUUAGCCAGCUAAUCUACAAGUAACAAACACAUAAAGAGAACAUUAUUUUUUUUAAGUAUUCAUUGUUCACAAACUAUUUAACAUUUCAUGUUGUUUCUAAUCAAUUUAGUGUGAACACAUAAGGUCUUGGCGGAUGAUAUACUAAUGAAGUAACAACAUGUCAUUGUAUGAUAUCACGUGUGUCUUGAUCUGAAAGAAUCACUUUGUAGUAUAAAUUAUAUACACAUCGUAGAACCUA